UACGUAGGGGGCGAGCGUUGUCCGGAGUUACUGGGCGUAAAGCGCACGCAGGCGGUCUGUUAAGUUUGGAGUGACAGUUGGUGGCUCAACCACCAAAGUGCUUUGAAAACUGAUAGACUUGAGGGCUUCAGAGGGACACGGAAUUCCGGGUGGAGUGGUGAAAUGCGUAGAGAUCCGGAGGAACACCAAAGGCGAAGGCAGUGUCCUGGGGAGUACCUGACGCUCAGGCGCGAAAGCCAGGGGAGCGAACGGG
RNAcentral lists this ribosomal RNA (253 nucleotides) under uncultured bacterium. Its description in RNAcentral is "partial 16S ribosomal RNA". It matches the Rfam family "Bacterial small subunit ribosomal RNA", at positions 524 to 776 of the family's 1533-position model. The record is from RNAcentral.